This is a long non-coding RNA of Lates calcarifer (barramundi perch), 2005 nucleotides long. RefSeq lists it as uncharacterized. The transcript is spliced from 5 exons. NCBI's taxonomy places the organism in Eukaryota, Metazoa, Chordata, Actinopteri, Centropomidae. The record is from RefSeq and is a predicted model, not a curated record.
GAUGAGGGAGACAUCGUCCACGAUCAGAGACAUUGUCCACGAUCGCAGAGACCUUGUCAAAGAUGAGAGAGACGUUGUCCAUGAUCAGAGACAUUGUCCCAUGCUUCGCAGAGCUCUGCGCAAGAAUCGGUAGAGACACUGUGGUUCCUCGAUUCGACGGCAUGACCGCGAUCAGGAGACAUUGUUAAUGAUCACAGAGACACCGUCUAUGAUCUCAGAGACAUCGUCCACGAUCACAAAGACAUUGCCCAUGGUUGUAGAGACUUUGUCCAUAAUCUCAGAGACAUUGUCCGCGAUCACAGAGACGUAGUCCGCAAUCCCAGAGAGUCUUCGUACAAUGAAGAAGUUCUUUGAGACCAGGACAGAGACCUCCAGAUUUCCUCCAGGUGUCACCAAUUCGUCCAUGACAUAGUCCACAAUCACAUAGACAUUGUCUACGAUUGCAAAGACAUGCCCCAUGAUCGGAGAGACAUUGUUGAGGAUGAGGGAGACAUCGUCCACGAUCAGAGACAUUGUCCACGAUCGCAGAGACCUUGUCAAAGAUGAGAGAGACGUUGUCCAUGAUCAGAGACAUUGUCCCAUGCUUCGCAGAGCUCUGCGCAAGAAUCGGUAGAGACACUGUGGUUCCUCGAUUCGACGGCAUGACCGCGAUCAGGAGACAUUGUUAAUGAUCACAGAGACACCGUCUAUGAUCUCAGAGACAUCGUCCACGAUCACAAAGACAUUGCCCAUGGUCGCAGAGACUUUGUCCAUAAUCUCAGAGACAUUGUCCGCGAUUACAGAGAGUCUUUGUACAGUGAAGAAGUUCUUGGAGACCAGGACAGAGGCCUCCAGAUUUCCUCCAGGUGUCACCACUUCAUCCAUGACAUCGUCCACGAUCACAGAGAUAUGGUCCAUGAUCGGAGAGACAUUGUUGAGGAUGAGGGAGACAUCGUCCACGAUCAGAGACAUUGUCCACGAUCGCAGAGACCUUGUCAAAGAUGAGAGAGACGUUGUCCAUGAUCAGAGACAUUGUCCCAUGCUUCGCAGAGCUCUGCGCAAGAAUCGGUAGAGACACUGUGGUUCCUCGAUUCGACGGCAUGACCGCGAUCAGGAGACAUUGUUAAUGAUCACAGAGACACCGUCGAUGAUCUCAGAGACAUCGUCCACGAUCACAAAGACAUUGCCCAUGGUCGUAGAGACUUUGUCCAUAAUCUCAGAGACAUUGUCCGCGAUCACAGAGACGUAGUCCGCAAUCCCAGAGAGUCUUCGUACAAUGAAGAAGUUCUUUGAGACCAGGACAGAGACCUCCAGAUUUCCUCCAGGUGUCACCAAUUCGUCCAUGACAUAGUCCACAAUCACAUAGACAUUGUCUACGAUUGCAAAGACAUGCCCCAUGAUCGGAGAGACAUUGUUGAGGAUGAGGGAGACAUCGUCCACGAUCAGAGACAUUGUCCACGAUCGCAGAGACCUUGUCAAAGAUGAGAGAGACGUUGUCCAUGAUCAGAGACAUUGUCCCAUGCUUCGCAGAGCUCUGCGCAAGAAUCGGUAGAGACACUGUGGUUCCUCGAUUCGACGGCAUGACCGCGAUCAGGAGACAUUGUUAAUGAUCACAGAGACACCGUCUAUGAUCUCAGAGACAUCGUCCACGAUCACAAAGACAUUGCCCAUGGUCGCAGAGACUUUGUCCAUAAUCUCAGAGACAUUGUCCGCGAUUACAGAGAGUCUUUGUACAGUGAAGAAGUUCUUGGAGACCAGGACAGAGGCCUCCAGAUUUCCUCCAGGUGUCACCACUUCAUCCAUGACAUCGUCCACGAUCACAGAGAUAUGGUCCAUGAUCGGAGAGACAUUGUUGAGGAUGAGGGAGACAUCGUCCACGAUCAGAGACAUUGUCCACGAUCGCAGAGACCUUGUCAAAGAUGAGAGAGACGUUGUCCAUGAUCAGAGACAUUGUCCCAUGCUUCGCAGAGCUCUGCGCAAGAAUCGGUAGAGACACUGUGGUUCCUCGAUUCGACGGCAUGACCGC